RNAcentral lists this ribosomal RNA (548 nucleotides) under uncultured Glomus. RNAcentral describes it as "SSU rRNA". It matches the Rfam family "Eukaryotic small subunit ribosomal RNA", at positions 548 to 1098 of the family's 1831-position model. The record is from RNAcentral. Lineage: Eukaryota; Fungi; Glomeromycota; Glomeromycetes; Glomerales; Glomeraceae.
UUGGAGGGAAGUCUGGUGCCAGCAGCCGCGGUAAUUCCAGCUCCAAUAGCGUAUAUUAAAGUUGUUGCAGUUAAAAAGCUCGUAGUUGAAUUUCGGGAUCAAUAUGUCGGUCGUGCCUCCGGUACGUACUGGCGUUAUUGGUUUCUCCCUUCUGACGAACCACGAUGUCAUUAAUUUGGUGUCAUGGGGAAUCAGGACUGUUACUUUGAAAAAAUUAGAGUGUUUAAAGCAGGCUCACGCUUGAAUACAUUAGCAUGGAAUAAUGAAAUAGGACGUUUGAUUCUAUUUUGUUGGUUUCUAGGAUCGACGUAAUGAUUAAUAGGGAUAGUUGGGGGCAUUAGUAUUCAAUUGUCAGAGGUGAAAUUCUUGGAUUUAUUGAAGACUAACUACUGCGAAAGCAUUUGCCAAGGAUGUUUUCAUUAAUCAAGAACGAAAGUUAGGGGAUCGAAGACGAUCAGAUACCGUCGUAGUCUUAACCAUAAACUAUGCCGACUAGGGAUCGGAUGAUGUUAAUUUUUUAAUGACUCAUUCGGCACCUUACGGGAAAC